This 921-nucleotide ribosomal RNA is filed under the name uncultured archaeon. RNAcentral describes it as "bacterial SSU rRNA". It matches the Rfam family "Archaeal small subunit ribosomal RNA", at positions 1 to 923 of the family's 1478-position model. The record is from RNAcentral.
UUUCCGGUUGAUCCCGCCGGAGGCCAUUGCUAUUGGGAUCCGAUUUAGCCAUGCUAGUCGUACGAGGUUAGACUCGCGGCGAAUAGCUCAGUAACACGUGGCCAAACUACCCUGCAGACCGCAAUACCCUCGGGAAACUGAGGCUAAUAGUGGAUACCACACUCAGACUGGAAUGUCGCGUGUGCCAAACGCUCCGGCGCCGAAGGAUGCGGCUGCGGCCGAUUAGGUAGUCGGUGGGGUAACGGCCCACCGUGCCAAUAAUUGGUACGGGUCAUGAGAGUGAGAGCCCGGAGACGGAAUCUGAGACAAGAUUCCGGGCCCUACGGGGCGCAGCAGGCGCGAAACCUUUACACUGCACGCCAGUGCGAUAAGGGGAUCCCAAGUGCGUAGGCAUAGAGCCUACGCUUUUGUCCACCCUAGGGUGGUGGACGAAUAAGGGCUGGGCAAGACCGGUGCCAGCCGCCGCGGUAAUACCGGCAGCCCGAGUGAUGGCCGAUCUUAUUGGGCCUAAAGCGUCCGUAGCUGGCCGCACAAGUCCAUCGGGAAAUCCACCUGCUCAACAGGUGGGCGUCCGGUGGAAACUGUGUGGCUUGGGACCGGAAGGCGCGACGGGUACGUCCGGGGUAGGAGUGAAAUCCUGUAAUCCUGGACGGACCGCCGAUGGCGAAAGCACGUCGCGAAAACGGAUCCGACAGUGAGGGACGAAAGCUAGGGUCUCGAACCGGAUUAGAUACCCGGGUAGUCCUAGCCGUAAACACUGCCUGUUAGGUGUGGCUCCCACUACGAGUGGGUGCUGUGCCGUAGGGAAGCCGCUAAACAGACCGCCUGGGAAGUACGUCCGCAAGGAUGAAACUUAAAGGAAUUGGCGGGGGAGCACUACAACCGGAGGAGCCUGCGGUUUAAUUGGACUCAACGCCGGGA